This 477-nucleotide ribosomal RNA is filed under the name Treponema sp. canine oral taxon 233. RNAcentral's name for it is "bacterial SSU rRNA". It matches the Rfam family "Bacterial small subunit ribosomal RNA", at positions 9 to 472 of the family's 1533-position model. The record is from RNAcentral. Lineage: Bacteria; Pseudomonadati; Spirochaetota; Spirochaetia; Treponematales; Treponemataceae.
GAGUUUGAUCAUGGCUCAGAACGAACGCUGGCGGCGCGUCUUAAGCAUGCAAGUCGAACGGCAAGAAAGGAGCUUGCUCCUUUCCUAGAGUGGCGGACUGGUGAGGAACACGUGGGUAAUCUACCCUUGAGAUGGGGAUAGCCGUUAGAAAUAGCGGGUAAUACCGAAUACACUUAUUAUUUCACAAGAGAUAGUAAGGAAAGGAAGCUACGGCUUCGCUCGAGGAUGAGCCUGCGUCCCAUUAGCUAGUUGGUGAGGUAACGGCUCACCAAGGCAACGAUGGGUAUCCGGCCUGAGAGGGUGAUCGGACACAUUGGGACUGAGAUACGGCCCAAACUCCUACGGGAGGCAGCAGCUAAGAAUAUUCCGCAAUGGACGGAAGUCUGACGGAGCGACGCCGCGUGGAUGAAGAAGGCUGAAAAGUUGUAAAAUCCUUUUGUUGAUGAAGAAUAAGGAUAAGAGGGAAUGCUUAUCUGA